This 579-nucleotide small RNA is filed under the name Pan troglodytes (chimpanzee). Its description in RNAcentral is "retained intron". Lineage: Eukaryota; Metazoa; Chordata; Mammalia; Primates; Hominidae. The record is from RNAcentral.
AGAGGGAGAUACAGAAACCGACAGGGGCCAGGCGCCCGGUGGCUCCGAAGCGGGGAAGUGGGACAAGAUGGUUUACAUCUCGAACGGACAAGUGUUGGACAGCCGGAGUCAGUCUCCAUGGAGAUUAUCUUUGAUAACAGAUUUCUUCUGGGGAAUAGCUGAGUUUGUGGUUUUGUUGUAAGUAUAGAAGAGCUCUUAAUUGCCCUGAUAUUUAAGUUGACAGGUGUACAUCAUGUGCAUUAUGUUAGGGAUCUUAAAUAAGCUCAACUUUCCUGAAACAGUUUUCUAUUGCAAUUUAAAAAAUAGCUUUACACAGGGAAAUAGACGUUAGUGAUAAAGCUGCUACCACCAGAUAGCUUGUGAUUAUGAGUAUAUGUUAGUUGGAUUGGUAAACUUCACCACAUCUUAACCUUGGUGGUAACUACUUCAACCUAUGGCUGGGUCUGUCAAUUCUGAUGCUAAAUGACUGGACCUCACUUUCUCUCUACUAUUCUUGUUUUUUUUUUUUUUUUUUUUUGUGCGUGCAACUUUCAUUCCAUAUUAUAUAACAAGUAAAUAAAAGGUUUUAUAUCCUGGUUU